GACGAACGCUGGCGGCGUGCUUAACACAUGCAAGUCGAACGAAGUGGCGGACGGGUGAGUAACGCGUAAUAAACCUGCCCUUCAGAGGGGGACAACAGUUGGAAACGACUGCUAAUACCGCAUACUGAAGGAGGGGAUUGCGUCUGAUUAGCUAGUUGGCGGGGUAACGGCCCACCAAGGCGAGGAUAAGUAGCCGGUCUGAGAGGAUGAACGGCCCCAUUGGGACGUAUACACGGCCCAGACUCCUACGGGAGGCAGCCGUGGGGAAUUUUCCGCAAUUGACGAAAGUCUGACUGAGCAACUCCGCGUGAGUGAUGACGGCCUUCGGGUUGUAAAGCUCCUUUAAUCGGGACGCGGUACCGGAAUAGAAAGCCACGGCUAACUACGUGCCAGCAGCCGCGGUAAUUC
This 408-nucleotide ribosomal RNA is filed under the name uncultured bacterium. RNAcentral describes it as "partial 16S ribosomal RNA". It matches the Rfam family "Bacterial small subunit ribosomal RNA", at positions 28 to 526 of the family's 1533-position model. The record is from RNAcentral.